ACAGAUAGACCGAUCUCUCUCGGCUUGAAGCAGGGCCGCCUCUAUGCCGGAGCCAAAAGGGAACACCACCUGAACGACGCCUCUCGCCAUGGGAAGCCACUACAGCCCCACAGCCGCACAGAACAACACAUGCACACACCCCUCCCCACACCAGCAACGAGCCGUGGAGAGGAGAGCAACGCGCACGGUGGUGGGCGGGGCGUGCCUCAGGGACGUUACAACUCGCCGAGGUUGGCGGCGGCGCCAUUUUGAACUGGCUGAGGGUCGGGGUCGGUGGUGGCUGGAGGAAGCUUUGCGUUCUCCGAGAAAGCCAGUGAAGAGGGAGCGAGUUCUGAAUAUGGCAGCGAAUAGGAACUUGAAGCAAGUGCGGAUCGAGAAUAGCUCCCCAGCGGCGCCGCUGGGUAUGGUGGGGGGCGGUGGUGGCGGCAGCGGCAACCUGAAGGGAUUGCGGGGCCUAGAAACAGAGAGUGAGCCAGCGGCGGCCAUGGCGCUAGUGCCGAGCAAAGAAGGUGGAGAUGAAGAGCAGGAGGUUGGGUUCACCAUCGAUAUUAAAAGCUUCCUCAAACCUGGCGAGAAGAGCUACACACAACGCUGCAGGCUGUUCGUGGGGAAUCUGCCUACCGAUAUCACAGAGGAAGAUUUCAAGCGCCUCUUUGAGCGCUAUGGGGAGCCUAGCGAGGUCUUCAUCAACCGGGACCGUGGCUUUGGCUUCAUUCGCCUGGAAUCUAGGACACUGGCUGAAAUAGCAAAGGCGGAACUUGACGGUACUAUUUUGAAGAGCAGACCACUUCGAAUUCGAUUUGCUACACAUGGAGCUGCCCUAACAGUCAAGAAUCUGUCACCUGUGGUUUCUAAUGAGCUGCUGGAACAAGCAUUCUCUCAAUUUGGGCCAGUGGAAAGAGCUGUUGUUGUAGUAGAUGAUCGUGGCAGAGCUACAGGAAAAGGUUUCGUAGAGUUUGCAGCAAAACCUCCAGCUCGAAAAGCUCUAGAAAGAUGCAGUGAUGGGGCAUUCUUGCUAACGACAACACCUCGACCUGUUGUUGUAGAACCAAUGGAGCAAUUUGAUGAUGAAGAUGGACUUCCGGAGAAGCUAAUGCAAAAAACACAACAGUAUCACAAGGAAAGAGAACAGCCUCCACGUUUUGCUCAGCCUGGAACAUUUGAGUUUGAGUAUGCUUCACGGUGGAAGGCUCUUGAUGAGAUGGAAAAGCAACAGCGUGAACAGGUUGACAGGAACAUUAGAGAAGCCAAAGAGAAACUAGAGGCAGAAAUGGAAGCAGCUAGACAUGAGCAUCAGCUAAUGCUGAUGAGGCAAGAUCUCAUGCGACGUCAAGAAGAAUUGAGGCGUUUGGAAGAACUUCGAAAUCAAGAACUUCAAAAACGCAAGCAGAUCCAAUUGAGACAUGAGGAAGAACAUCGACGUCGUGAAGAAGAGAUGAUGCGGCAGAGAGAACAGGAGGAAUUACGACGACAGCAGGAGGGAGGAUUCAAACCAAAUUUCAUGGACAAUGUUACUGUUAAAAUCUUAAAAUGCAGAUGAAUGACUGGCUCAUGCAGAAUCCUGCUAUCUUACACAUACAACAGGAAAUCUAAAGAAAGUUUUGUACAAGCUCUGAAAUCGAUCAGCAUCCAGUUCUGUUCUACAGAAAAUGUGCUGGGCUACAACCUCCUUCAUGAUGAAUCCAAACUGUGCUGUUGGGCUGCUGCAGAGUGCUGGAGAAUUCCAGAUGGGUCUGCCCUGUAAGGACUGGGCCAUGGCACAGUUUGAAAGGAUGGGAGGAUUCAUGUGGAAUGUGUGCCACCUACACCUGGGACUAGGAAAGACACAUAAGAACCUGCAAAGGGCAUCUGCCUGCAGGAUUUAAUAUGCUUAUUCCUGGAUGAGCCAGAUGAGCCAACACAUUCCAGGUAGUGAACACAGACCCAGGGCCUGACAGAAACCUCACCAAGUUCAGAAAAGGCAGAUGUAAGGUCUGCAGAGGGCACUGCAUUAACCAGUGCUGUGAUGCACUCUGGGCAGACAAGCUUUCCUCUCUGUUCAGUGUUCUGGGACUGCGGCUGGAGUGCUGUGACCGGUUCUGGGUUCCUGACCACCAGACAUGUGGGAACAGUCACCAUGAUGGUCAGGAGGUUAAGCCCAGGAGCCAUAGGGUUUGUUAUCUGGAGCUCAGGCCAGGAGAUCAUCUUGCAUCAGCUAUCUAAUGGAAGGGGGGUAGAGAAGAUGGAGCCAGGCUCACCUUAGCAGUGCACAGUAGUGAGGAAAUUGUGUAUAAUUAUUGGUGUAUCCCAACAUUGUAUCACACCAGUAAUAAAACCUGUGCAAUCAGUAA
This is an RNA transcript of Melopsittacus undulatus (budgerigar), 2330 nucleotides long. It is a transcript of the gene named paraspeckle component 1, with no coding region annotated. NCBI's taxonomy places the organism in Eukaryota, Metazoa, Chordata, Aves, Psittaciformes, Psittaculidae. The transcript is spliced from 10 exons. The record is from RefSeq and is a predicted model, not a curated record.